AUAUGAGAAAGUCACACACGAAAUAUUAUGCGCGGUUCCUCACAUUGGCAUUAUUUCCAUGUGGCAUCAAGCACAUGCAUAAAGGGAUUGCAUCAAAGCGCACAGUUAAAAACGGGCAGAAACUGAAUAUUGAGUGACAGACAGCGUUAGUAGAAAGUGAGCGCGCGGUGGGGAAAUCGACCAAAACGCCUUUGGUGCGAGAUGUGCCUUCUGAAAAUCUGCGCUCAUGACGUCAGGAGUACUUUAACCAGCCGCGCGUGAGUGUUUAUAAACACUGACCGCGAGGACAGAGGAGUGAACAAGACCGAGGACGGGCGACGAUGAUGAUUUUGUUUAAUGAUAAAUGUCAGACGUUCUCUAUAGCAUAGAAACAUAGGUCAACUAACUUUUGAAACCAAGACCAGUCUUUGAUUCCAGACACCGUGGAGAGAAGUCUGGCAAGGCUGGACUGAGCUGAAGAGUGUCCCGAACAGUUGAGGUAUGGCAGUAGGUGGAUGGUGCCGCUGUGCCUGGGCGGGUCUCCUCAGCCUGCUGGUGUUCAGCUGGGGUGCCUGGACCCUCAACCCUGAUGACCCUAACGUGUGCAGCCACUGGGAGAGCUAUGCAGUGACGGUGCAAGAGUCCUACUCCCACCCGUUUGACCAGAUCUACUACACUCGCUGCACUGACAUCCUCACCUGGUUCAAGUGCACCAGACACAGGACCAGUUACAAGACAGCGUACCGGCGUGGUGUGAGGACCAUGUAUCGACGCCGCUCACAGUGUUGCCCCGGCUUCUACGAAAGUGGAGAGCUGUGUGUUCCCAGGUGUACAGAGGAGUGUGCUCACGGCCGCUGUGUUUCUCCAGAUACCUGCCAGUGUGAGCCAGGCUGGGGGGGCAGGGACUGCUCCAGCGGCUGUGAGCAGGGCCUCUGGGGCCCCCACUGCAGUAACCGCUGCCAGUGUCGCCAUGGUGCCCAGUGCAGCCCCAUCACAGGGGCGUGUGUGUGCACGGAGGGCUACCAGGGCUGGCGCUGUGAGAACACUUGCCAGCCCGGUCGAUACGGUAAUGGCUGCCUGCUGGAGUGCCACUGUCUGAACGGAGCGACGUGCCGGCACGACACCGGGCAGUGUGUGUGUGCUCCAGGGUACACCGGGCCCACCUGUGGUGAACCCUGUCCUGAUGGUAACCAUGGCACCCAGUGUGAGCAGCGUUGUCCCUGUCAGAACGGUGGAACGUGCCAUCACGUGACUGGGGUGUGCUCCUGCCCCCCAGGCUGGAUGGGCCCAAUGUGUGCACAGCCAUGUGCAUUUGGCAGCUAUGGUGUCAGCUGCAGCCAGCCAUGUUUGUGCCAGAACUCAGGCCUGUGUGACCAUAUCAGCGGGCUCUGCCAGUGCAGCGCUGGACACAUAGGAGACAGGUGUGAGGAGGAGUGUGUGUCCGGCUCCUUCGGCCCCCAGUGUGCUCUUCCGUGUGUUUGUCAGAACGGAGCAUCUUGCCACCCGGUGACGGGGGAAUGUCUGUGUGACGAGGGCUUCCAGGGGCCCCGCUGUGAGGCCCGGCUCUGCCGCUCUGGGCUCUAUGGACGCAGCUGUGACAGGUCCUGCCCCUGUAACUCCGACAACACCCUCAGCUGUAAUCCGUUGACGGGUGAGUGUUUGUGCUCUGCUGGGUGGGCGGGGCUUCACUGCAAUGAAACCUGCUCAUCUGGUUACCACGGCCAUGGCUGCAAGGAGCCAUGCGACUGUGCAAACGGGUCGGACUGUGACAGCAUCACCGGGGCCUGCAUCUGUGCUCCUGGAUACACGAGUGAGGACUGCUCCGCCCGCUGUCCGGAUGGUCUGUACGGGAUGAACUGCAGCUGGUCCUGCACCUGCAGCAACCUCUCCUCCUGCUCACAUGUAGACGGCUCCUGCGUCUGCACAGCAGGUUGGCAGGGUAUGGACUGCAGCCUAUCCUGUCCCAGUGGGACCUGGGGGCUGAGCUGUAACCAGACGUGUCUGUGUGCCAACGGCGCUGCAUGUGACCCCGUCACAGGCUCCUGUACCUGCGGCCCCGGCUGGAGGGACCAGUACUGCCACAUCCCCUGUCCUGAUGGUACCUACGGGCUGGACUGCCGAGAGAACUGUGACUGUAUCCAUGCCGACAGUUGUGACCCUGUGACUGGGACCUGUCACUGUCUGGCUGGCUGGACAGGAGUGCAGUGUGAGGGUGUGUGUGAGGGGGGCCGCUGGGGCUCCGGAUGCUCCUCCAGGUGUGACUGUGGAGACGAAGGCUCCUGCUUCCCGCAGGACGGCAGGUGUGUGUGUGCUCCUGGGUACCGAGGCUCCUCCUGCCAGCGCAAAUGUUCUCAAGGGUUCUACGGCCAGCGCUGCAGCCUGACCUGCCCCCCGUGUCUCCAUAGCGACGGGCCAUGCCACCACACCAGCGGACUCUGCGAGUGUCUCCCUGGAUACACCGGCUCCCUCUGCAACCAAGUGUGUCCAAGUGGCAGGUUUGGGAAGGACUGUGCUGAGGUGUGUGUGUGCACCAACAACAGCACCUGCAACCCCAUCGAUGGAUCUUGCCAGUGCUACCCUGGCUGGCAAGGAGAAGACUGCUCCCAAGUGUGUCCUGCAGGUUCCUGGGGUCCUUACUGCCUCCACAUGUGCAGCUGUCAUAACGAGGCCCAGUGCAGCACUACAGACGGACACUGCAGCUGUAGCGCAGGCUGGAAUGGACCGUACUGCACCCAGCGUUGUCCCCCAGGUUUCUAUGGGGAUGCGUGUGCGCAGGCAUGUCGCUGCCAGAAUGGAGCUGACUGCGAUCACAUCAGCGGAGUCUGCUCCUGCAGGACCGGAUUCAUAGGACCCAGCUGUGAACAGAAGUGUCCAGCGGGACUGUUUGGCUAUGGCUGCCAGCAGCUGUGUGAGUGUAUGAACAAUGCCAGCUGUGACUACGUGACUGGAACCUGCUACUGCAGCACCGGCUACAAGGGCAUCCGCUGUGACCAGGCUGCUGUGUGGAUGGAGGAGCUGAACCCGUACACCAAGAUCAGUCCUGCGCUGGCGUCGGCCCGUCGGUUUGUGGGCGCUGUGCUGGGGGUCAUCUUCCUCCUGCUCCUCAUCCUCACCUCGCUGGCUCUGGCCGUGUGGAGACGUCACCGCCGGCAGGAAAAGGAACACACACCCUGCGUCUCCUACACACCCACCCGGCCAGGAGACACGGAGCAGCCCUCCUCUGGUGUGUCUCCCAGCAGGAGCCUGUCUAGCUGCUCCAACCCCAGCUACCUGACUCUGGGCGCCUGCUCGUACGCGGGCCACUACACUCGGCCCGACAAGAAGACGUUCGCCAAGGUGAAGACUAAGAGAAGGUACCGGAACAGUGCCCCUGAGUGGGGAGCUUACUACAACCUGAACGAGCUGGACUACAUGAAGGGCUCCGUGUCCAGCUCCUGCUCCCAGGGCAGUGAGAACCCCUACGCCACCAUCCCUGAGCCCGCCGCCCGGCCCUCAGAGAGCAGCUACGCCCGGCCCUCAGAGAGCAGCUACGUGGAGAUGAAGUCUCCUGUCCACCACCUGCACCACCCAGACCUAUCCUGCUGCUCCUCCACUGUGGUCACCCACCCUGCCCUCACCCACCCUGCCCUCACCCACCCUGCCCUCAUCCACCCUGCCCUCACCUAUGCUAACACCUCUAAACCUGCUGCAGCUAGCAGAAACAUCUACAACCAGGAGCCGUCCGUCACCACCCUCCACCGGGCCGGUGGCUUGGUGGCAGCUGGCUACUUCCAGAGCCCCUAUGACCUGCCGAGGAAUAGCCACAUCCCUGCCCACUACGACCUGCUGCCUGUGCGCUUCAGCCCUGCACAUAGCCCUCCUCUGCCUACAGACUCCUCUAGCUCUGUGCUAUAGAGACUCUGUCUUUGACCCAAAAUGGCUUCUAGUAAUUAAUGCAACCGAGGACUAACUUUGUCACCGCGGCAACGGUGGUACAAAAAUAUUUAACACUUUUUAUUUAUUUCUGGUGGUCUGGAGAAUUUACCAAAAGUGAAGUGAAAGACAUUUGUUCACAUCCUGAGGUUUGUGUUGGGCACUCCAGCGCUUCUUAGCGGUAUGGCAGGAAGACUUUGGCCCAUGACGAGGGACAUCAAGAGACAGAUGUUGUGAUGAUGUCGUUACACUCAGAAUUGUCAUGCCUGAUUUCUAACUCAAACACAUUUGUGUGCAGCUCUUUAAUUGAACUCCAAUAUGAAAUAGCCAAUCAGAAGCAAGGAAUGCCUGAUGCCACUACAUACUGUGCAUCAUUAGGUAUCAGCAUGACCUCUGCAUGUCUGUCUGUGACCCUAAAGAACACACGCUGUUCUUCUGGUUCUGGUAUUUAUACAUUAUCUUAUUUUGUGUUAACUUUGCAUGUUUAAGAUCAAAACUGUCCUGUAAUGCCUUUUGGCAGACACAAUCUUGUGUAAGUCGAGAAAUGUAACAAAUAUUUACUGUGCAGUAGUUAUGUGAUUUCUUAGGACGUAAAGCUCAUGUGCAUGCGUUCCAGAUUAUAAAUCUGUUUAUCUGUUUUAUGGAGCAAUUCCGUCAUUGCUCCAUGUAUUAUUUGUAAAAACAGACUUUAUAUUCAUCCUAACCAUUUAAAGAUCCCAUGACAUGCUGUUUUUGGAUGCUUUUAUAUAGGCAUUAGUGGUCCCCUAAUACUGUAUCAGAAGUCUCUUUCCCGAAAUUCAGCCUUGGUGCAGAAUUACAGCCACUACGAGCAGUCCCACAAUGAGCUUUCCUCAGGACGUGCCGUUUCUGUGUCUGUAGCUUUAAAUGCUAUGAGGAAGAAAGAGGCGGGGCUAACUGCCAUCCUUCGUCGUUUGCAAGCCAUGAUGUCUCGAGGAAAAAACAAUAUCACGCUCGCACGGUCGUAGCUCAUUUUCUCAUUGGUGGGCCAAAUUCUCUGUGCGGGCAAAGCAGUGAAAGGGGAGGUAACCUUCCUCCUUAUGACGACAUAAGGAAAGGAUUUUUCUUCUCCGCCUUUGAGAAAAUGAAAUCUGAAACGCUCGGUUUUAAAAAUCCUCUCCUGGCUUGGUUUACACCUAUCGAAAUGUAUAGCCACUGGGGACCAAAGGCAGGCUAUGGGAACUCAUAUUAAUGUUAAAUAACCUCCUAAAGUCAACAUUUGAUGUCAUGGGACCUUUAAACAACUGGCUGAAAAUAUUGUUUCUUUCUGGUACAGAUUAAAGAAUUGCUAUUAAAUUUAUAGAAAUUUACAAUUUUUCAUACUUUUUAAGGCUUUCAAUAAAAUUACUGUGGUGUUAUCUUAGUUUGUGUACUGGCAACACCAUCAUUUUUU
Osmerus eperlanus (European smelt) is the source of this 5302-nucleotide RNA transcript. It is a transcript of the gene named multiple epidermal growth factor-like domains protein 11, with no coding region annotated. The transcript is spliced from 25 exons. NCBI's taxonomy places the organism in Eukaryota, Metazoa, Chordata, Actinopteri, Osmeriformes, Osmeridae. The record is from RefSeq and is a predicted model, not a curated record.